Molecule: ribosomal RNA, 253 nt
Filed under: uncultured bacterium
Lineage: Bacteria
Description: partial 16S ribosomal RNA
Rfam family: Bacterial small subunit ribosomal RNA
Source: RNAcentral
GACGAACCAUCCAAACGUUAUUCGGAAUCACUGGGCUUAAAGGGUGCGUAGGCGGCCCGGUAAGUUGGGUGUGAAAUACCUCAGCCUAACUGAGGAAUUGCGCCCAAAACUGUCGGGCUCGAGGAAGAUAUAGGUGAGCGGAACUUAGGGUGGAGCGGUGAAAUGCGUUGAUAUCCUAAGGAACACCAGAAGCGAAAGCGGCUCACUGGGUCUUAUCUGACGCUGAGGCACGAAAGCUAGGGGAGCGAACGGG